RNAcentral lists this ribosomal RNA (233 nucleotides) under uncultured bacterium. RNAcentral describes it as "partial 16S ribosomal RNA". It matches the Rfam family "Bacterial small subunit ribosomal RNA", at positions 102 to 334 of the family's 1533-position model. The record is from RNAcentral.
CACGGGUGAGUAACACGUAUCCAACCUGCCGUCUACUCUUGGACAGCCUUCUGAAAGGAAGAUUAAUACAAGAUGGCAUCAUGAGUCCGCAUGUUCGCAUGAUUAAAGGUAUUCCGGUAGACGAUGGGGAUGCGUUCCAUUAGAUAGUAGGCGGGGUAACGGCCCACCUAGUCUUCGAUGGAUAGGGGUUCUGAGAGGAAGGUCCCCCACAUUGGAACUGAGACACGGUCCAA